RNAcentral lists this ribosomal RNA (935 nucleotides) under uncultured archaeon. Its description in RNAcentral is "bacterial SSU rRNA". It matches the Rfam family "Archaeal small subunit ribosomal RNA", at positions 1 to 922 of the family's 1478-position model. The record is from RNAcentral.
UUCCGGUUGAUCCUGCCGAACCCGACUGCUAUUUGGGUGAGAAUAAGCCAUGCGAGUCGAAUGGGAUACCUAAACUUCCCAUGGCAAACUGCUCAGUAACACAUGAUCAACUUAACCUAUAGAGAAAAAUAAUCUCGGGAAACUGAGGAUAAUAUUUCAUAGUUGAAUCGGCUUGGAAAAGUUUUUCAACCAAAAGGAUAAGAAAAAUGGUUCUUAUUCGCUAUAGGAUAGGAUCGUGGACGAUUAUGGUUGUUGGUGAGGUAACGGCUCACCAAGCCGAUAAUCGAUAGGGGCCGUGAGAGCGGGAGCCCCGAGAUGGGUACUUAGACAACGACCCAGGCCUUACGAGGCGCAGCAGGCGCGGAACCUCCGCAAUACACGAAAGUGUGACGGGGUUACCCAAAGUGUUCAGUUUUGGACUGUGGUAGGUGAGUAAUGUUCCCUACUAGAAAGGAGAGGGCAAGGCUGGUGCCAGCCGCCGCGGUAAAACCAGCUCUUCAAGUGGUCGGGAUAAUUAUUGGGCUUAAAGUGUCCGUAGCCGGUUUAGUAAGUUCCUGGUAAAAUCGGGUAGCUUAACUAUCUAUAUGCUAGGAAUACUGCUAUACUAGAGGGCGGGAGAGGUCUGAGGUACUACAGGGGUAGGGGUGAAAUCUUAUAAUCCUUGUAGGACCACCAGUGGCGAAGGCGUCAGACUGGAACGCGCCUGACGGUGAGGGACGAAAGCCAGGGGAGCGAACCGGAUUAGAUACCCGGGUAGUCCUGGCCGUAAACGAUGCAUACUAGGUGAUGGUGUGGCCAUGAGCCGUAUCAGUGCCGUAGGGAAACCGUUAAGUGUGCCGCCUGGGAAGUACGGUCGCAAGGCUAAAACUUAAAGGAAUUGGCGGGGGAGCACCACAAGGGGUGAAGCCUGCGGUUCAAUUGGAUUCAACGCCGGG